RNAcentral lists this long non-coding RNA (257 nucleotides) under Salvia miltiorrhiza (redroot sage). Its description in RNAcentral is "long non-coding RNA (SMIL_LNC011581)". Lineage: Eukaryota; Viridiplantae; Streptophyta; Magnoliopsida; Lamiales; Lamiaceae. The record is from RNAcentral.
UCGUGCGUCAAGGAGCUGUCUUCAUACACUCCAUUUUGUUGCUUUUCUUCAUCUGACUCAUUUUUUGGCUUUUCUGCUUUUCUAUUUUUUUUUGGCUUUUUAUGCUUUUCCUUUUUUUUGGCUUUUCUUUUUUUUUUUUUUUUUUUUUUUUUUUUUUUUUUGGUAACUAUAUACAUAUGUACAUGCUUCAACUUCUACCACCCUUCAAGGAUAGUAGUACUUCAAGAACUUUCCGUUGAGAGUGAUAACAAUUGGCC